UUGAAGUGGGCAUACAUUGAUAUGGUAGAGUCUGAGACUCAUAAUCUCAGAGCCGUGGGUUUGAGCCCCACAUUGGGCAAA
Non-coding RNA from Podarcis lilfordi (Lilford's wall lizard), 81 nucleotides. NCBI's taxonomy places the organism in Eukaryota, Metazoa, Chordata, Lepidosauria, Squamata, Lacertidae. The record is from the annotation of a GenBank genome assembly.